RNAcentral lists this ribosomal RNA (497 nucleotides) under uncultured bacterium. RNAcentral's name for it is "partial 16S ribosomal RNA". It matches the Rfam family "Bacterial small subunit ribosomal RNA", at positions 28 to 507 of the family's 1533-position model. The record is from RNAcentral.
GAUGAACGCUGGCGGCGUGCCUAAUACAUGCAAGUCGAGCGAACAGACGAGGAGCUUGCUCCUCUGACGUUAGCGGCGGACGGGAGAGUAACACGUGGAUAACCUACCUAUAAGACUGGGAUAACUUCGGGAAACCGGAGCUAAUACCGGAUAAUAUAUUGAAGCGCAUGGGUCAAUAGUGAAAGACGGUGGUGGGGGCACUUAUAGAUGGAUCCGCGCCGGAUUAGCUAGUUGGUAAGGAAACGGGUUACCAAGGCAACGAUGCGUAUCCCACCUGAGAGGGUGAUCGGCCACACUGGAACUGAGCCACGCUCCAUACUCCUAAGGGACGCAGCAGUAGGGAAUCUUCCGCAAUGGGCGAAAGCUUGGCGGAGCGACGCCGCGUGUGUGGUGGCGGUCUUCGGAUCGUAAUACUCUGUUAUUAGUGAAGAACCAAUGUGUAAGUAACUAUGCCCGUCUUGACGGUACCUGAUCAGAAAGCCACGGCUAACUACGUG